GUUGAUAUAGCAUAAGAAAUGUGUUUGUUUUAAGCGCAGAAGAUAUUAUUCAACU
RNAcentral lists this transfer RNA (55 nucleotides) under Heterakis dispar. Its description in RNAcentral is "tRNA-Leu". Lineage: Eukaryota; Metazoa; Nematoda; Chromadorea; Rhabditida; Heterakidae. The record is from RNAcentral.